AAACUUUAACAACGGAUCUCUUGGUUCCGGCAUCGAUGAAGAACGCAGCGAAAUGCGAUAAGUAAUGUGAAUUGCAGAAUUCAGUGAAUCAUCGAAUCUUUGAACGCACAUUGCGCCCCCUGGUAUUCCGGGGGGCAUGCCUGUCCGAGCGUCAUUA
Molecule: ribosomal RNA, 157 nt
Filed under: Monascus ruber
Lineage: Eukaryota; Fungi; Ascomycota; Eurotiomycetes; Eurotiales; Aspergillaceae
Description: 5.8S ribosomal RNA
Rfam family: 5.8S ribosomal RNA
About the family: 5.8S ribosomal RNA (5.8S rRNA) is a component of the large subunit of the eukaryotic ribosome. It is transcribed by RNA polymerase I as part of the 45S precursor that also contains 18S and 28S rRNA. Functionally, it is thought that 5.8S rRNA may be involved in ribosome translocation.
Source: RNAcentral